Molecule: ribosomal RNA, 422 nt
Filed under: uncultured bacterium
Lineage: Bacteria
Description: bacterial SSU rRNA
Rfam family: Bacterial small subunit ribosomal RNA
Source: RNAcentral
GUAAGGAAUAUUGGUCAAUGGACGCAAGUCUGAACCAGCCAUGCCGCGUGAAGGAUGAAGGUCCUCUGGAUUGUAAACUUCUUUUAUCUGGGACGAAAACGGGAUUUUUAUCUCAAUUGACGGUACCAGAGGAAUAAGCACCGGCUAACUCCGUGCCACCAGCCGCGGUAAUACGGAGGGUGCGAGCGUUAUCCGGAUUUACUGGGUUUAAAGGGUGCGUAGGUGGGCUUAUAAGUCAGUGGUGAAAUCUCCGAGCUUAACUUGGAAACUGCCGUUGAUACUAUAGGUCUUGAAUUAUCUGGAGGUAAGCGGAAUAUGUCAUGUAGCGGUGAAAUGCUUAGAUAUGACAUAGAACACCAAUCGCGAAGGCAGCUUACUACAUAUAAAUUGACGCUGAGGCACGAAAGCGUGGGGAUCAAACA